AUUGAACGCUGGCGGCAUGCCUUACACAUGCAAGUCGAACGGUAACAGGUCUUCGGAUGCUGACGAGUGGCGAACGGGUGAGUAAUACAUCGGAACGUGCCUAGUAGUGGGGGAUAACUACUCGAAAGAGUGGCUAAUACCGCAUGAGAUCUACGGAUGAAAGCAGGGGAUCGCAAGACCUUGUGCUACUAGAGCGGCCGAUGGCAGAUUAGGUAGUUGGUGGGAUAAAAGCUUACCAAGCCGACGAUCUGUAGCUGGUCUGAGAGGACGAUCAGCCACACUGAGACUGGGACACGGCCCGGACUCCUACGGGAGGCAGCGGUGGGUAAUUUUGGACAAUGGGCGCAAGCCUGAUCCAGCAAUGCCGCGUGCAGGAUGAAGGCCUUCGGGUUGUAAACUGGUUUUGUACGGAACGAAAAGCCCCGGGUUAAUACCCUGGGGUCAUGACGGUACCGUAAGAAUAAGCACCGGCUAACUACGUGCCAGCAGCCGCCGUAA
RNAcentral lists this ribosomal RNA (498 nucleotides) under uncultured bacterium. Its description in RNAcentral is "partial 16S ribosomal RNA". It matches the Rfam family "Bacterial small subunit ribosomal RNA", at positions 30 to 523 of the family's 1533-position model. The record is from RNAcentral.